This 1050-nucleotide ribosomal RNA is filed under the name Burkholderia sp. O1a_RA002. Its description in RNAcentral is "bacterial SSU rRNA". It matches the Rfam family "Bacterial small subunit ribosomal RNA", at positions 19 to 1061 of the family's 1533-position model. The record is from RNAcentral. Lineage: Bacteria; Pseudomonadati; Pseudomonadota; Betaproteobacteria; Burkholderiales; Burkholderiaceae.
CUGGCUCAGAUUGAACGCUGGCGGCAUGCCUUACACAUGCAAGUCGAACGGCAGCACGGGUGCUUGCAUCUGGUGGCGAGUGGCGAACGGGUGAGUAAUACAUCGGAACAUGUCCUGUAGUGGGGGAUAGCCCGGCGAAAGCCGGAUUAAUACCGCAUACGAUCUACGGAUGAAAGCGGGGGACCUUCGGGCCUCGCGCUAUAGGGUUGGCCGAUGGCUGAUUAGCUAGUUGGUGGGGUAAAGGCCUACCAAGGCGACGAUCAGUAGCUGGUCUGAGAGGACGACCAGCCACACUGGGACUGAGACACGGCCCAGACUCCUACGGGAGGCAGCAGUGGGGAAUUUUGGACAAUGGGCGAAAGCCUGAUCCAGCAAUGCCGCGUGUGUGAAGAAGGCCUUCGGGUUGUAAAGCACUUUUGUCCGGAAAGAAAUCCUUGGCCCUAAUACGGUCGGGGGAUGACGGUACCGGAAGAAUAAGCACCGGCUAACUACGUGCCAGCAGCCGCGGUAAUACGUAGGGUGCGAGCGUUAAUCGGAAUUACUGGGCGUAAAGCGUGCGCAGGCGGUUUGCUAAGACCGAUGUGAAAUCCCCGGGCUCAACCUGGGAACUGCAUUGGUGACUGGCAGGCUAGAGUAUGGCAGAGGGGGGUAGAAUUCCACGUGUAGCAGUGAAAUGCGUAGAGAUGUGGAGGAAUACCGAUGGCGAAGGCAGCCCCCUGGGCCAAUACUGACGCUCAUGCACGAAAGCGUGGGGAGCAAACAGGAUUAGAUACCCUGGUAGUCCACGCCCUAAACGAUGUCAACUAGUUGUUGGGGAUUCAUUUCCUUAGUAACGUAGCUAACGCGUGAAGUUGACCGCCUGGGGAGUACGGUCGCAAGAUUAAAACUCAAAGGAAUUGACGGGGACCCGCACAAGCGGUGGAUGAUGUGGAUUAAUUCGAUGCAACGCGAAAAACCUUACCUACCCUUGACAUGGUCGGAAUCCCGCUGAGAGGUGGGAGUGCUCGAAAGAGAACCGAUACACAGGUGCUGCAUGGCUGUCGUCAGCUC